UACGGAGGGUGCAAGCGUUGUCCGGAUUUAUUGGGUUUAAAGGGUGCGUAGGCGGCGUAAUAAGUCAGUGGUGAAAGCCGGCAGCUCAACUGUCGAGGUGCCAUUGAAACUGUUAUGCUUGAGUACAGACGAGGUAGGCGGAAUUUAUGAUGUAGCGGUGAAAUGCAUAGAUAUCAUAAAGAACACCAAUAGCGAAGGCAGCUUACUAGGCUGUAACUGACGCUGAGGCACGAAAGCGUGGGGAGCGAACAGG
RNAcentral lists this ribosomal RNA (253 nucleotides) under uncultured prokaryote. RNAcentral's name for it is "partial 16S ribosomal RNA". It matches the Rfam family "Bacterial small subunit ribosomal RNA", at positions 524 to 776 of the family's 1533-position model. The record is from RNAcentral.